Xiphophorus hellerii (green swordtail) is the source of this 1980-nucleotide long non-coding RNA. RefSeq lists it as uncharacterized. The transcript is spliced from 2 exons. Lineage: Eukaryota; Metazoa; Chordata; Actinopteri; Cyprinodontiformes; Poeciliidae. The record is from RefSeq and is a predicted model, not a curated record.
CCCUGUCCUUCCCCGUUUCCUGUCAGCCCACUAUCAUAUAAGGGACACUAGAGCCCACAAGAAGACCCCCUGGAGGGGUAAAAAAAAAUCUCACAAUUUUUACCCAGUGGCUGAAUUUUUGCACAAAAGAUUUAAAUUUGAUUCAACAUGUUGUAUCUUUAGUGAAUGUCCAGAAGAAUCAUUAAUCAGCUCUUUUUUUCUGUCCUUUUUCUUUUAAACUAUGGAGAGACAUUAAAAAUUGGUUGUCCCUUAAAAUUGAAGAGAUAACCAUCACCCACAUAUUAUACUAUGUUGAUGAUCUUGAUAGUCAAAUAUCUGACAUGGUAAAUAUUGUCUUCUUGCUUGUUAAAUAUCAUAAAUCCUGCUGUAAAUGCAGAGGUUCUACACCUUGUUUUGAUUUUUUCUUAAUUAAUUUAAACUGUAUUACACCUCAUUGAAACAUUUGAAAUCUGUUUAUGCAAAAAAGGGUAACUGUCAGUAUCUCUACUUUUCUUUUGUUUUAAAUCUUGCUCUAUUUUUAUUCAUUUGCUUUACUGUUUAUGUUUUUGUCUUUAGUCUUAGCCCCAUGCUUGGUUUCUUUUUUUCCUACCUUUGUUGCAAAGUUCUUUGUACCUCAACGAGUCUUUGUAUACUGUUUGUCUAAUAAUAAUAAUUAAAAAAGAACCUGGACGGGUUCCGGGGUGUGAAUACUUUUGGCUGUCCUGCAGUAGCUGCAGGCCUCCAGCAGGGGGCAGCGGCUCUCCACUCACUGAGAUGUUUUGAUCCGCCGCUGAUCACUUCCUGUUGUUCUAGUUCUGUUGGGUCCGGUACCCUAUCCAGAAGCCUGAGGUCCAAUCUGUGGUCUCUGGAGUCUACUACUGAGGUUCUGGCACGGAUCCAAUCGGGAUCAGAUUCAGGUUCUGAUUGGAUCAGAACCAGAAUCAGUACCAGGAGUCGGGUCGGGGGUUCUGACAGAAACAGAAACUAGAGACUAUUUCAGUUUCCGUGGAAACAAGAUGCAAUGAGCAGAAAGUCCCUAAACGUUUGCAGCGCCUGGUUCCGGUCCAAUGAAACUUCACAGCCCGGUUCCAGCCCAGGAGACCCUUGGUGGAUCUUAAUCAGAGGUUUGAACGCCUGAACUCCCUGAAGACCAAACCGGAUCAGAACCAGGACCCUGGACCGUGAACCUGACCAAGUUCUGAUCUAGUUCUGGUUCUGACCUGGUGUUGGUUCUACUGGGCCAGCGCUUAUCUAAUAAACCAAACUCAACCAGAACCAGACUGACCAGUGGAGGGCGACAGUGGAGAGGAAAAACUCCCCAUUAACAGGAAGAAAUCUCCACCAGAACCUGACUCAGAACCAGAACCAGGCUCAGAAACAGCAGCCGUCUGAUACGACCAACCGGAGGUCAGAGAAGACAGAGCAGACCUGAACCAGGAGAACUUUCUAUGUGAUCAGGGCAGAUGGUCAGUAACUGGAAAAGUCUGUGAGAAGAAACAUCUGUGUUGAAUAAAAGACAUUGAGUUUUAUUUUUUAUUUUUCUGUCCAAUCGUAUUUAUCUUGGAGAUUUUCAUGAUUUGUUCGUGUUAGGUUUUCCUUUACUCCUUUACAUUUUGGCUGCGAGUGAAGUGGUGUGUUAGCAGUGUGUCAGUGGGAUGUUAGCAGUGUGCUAACGGUGUGUUAGCAGUGUGUCAGUGGGUUGUUAGCAGUGUGUCAGUGGGGAGUUAGCAGUGUGCUAACGGUGUUAGCAGUGUGUCAAUGGGGAGUUAGUUGUGUGCUAACCAUGUGUCAGCAGUGUACUAACGGUGUAUUAGCAGUGUGCUAACGGUGUGUUAGCAGUGGGUUAGCGGCGUGUUAGCGGGUAGUGCAGAGAAGUUCUGCUUCCUGGUCUAGACUCCAGCUUGUUGAUGUUGGAGAAGAACCAGCAGAGACUCGGAGUCAAAAUGUUUUAUUAGAAUCAGUGAUCAGCUGCAGUUACAGAGACAAUGAAAGAACACACAC